Molecule: transfer RNA, 73 nt
Filed under: Capra hircus (goat)
Lineage: Eukaryota; Metazoa; Chordata; Mammalia; Artiodactyla; Bovidae
Also listed under: 1 other name
Rfam family: tRNA
About the family: Transfer RNA (tRNA) molecules are approximately 80 nucleotides in length.
Source: Rfam by way of RNAcentral
UCCUUGGUGGCCCAGUGGCUAAGAGUCUGCGCUCCCAACGCAGGGGGCCCGGGUUUGAUUCCUGGUUGAGGAG